GUUUUAUAAAGUAAAAUUUAAUAUACUACAAAUAAAUGUGUUUUCCAAAGGGAGUCUGGAGAGAUUAAAUUGCUUCUAAACUCCUAUAUGUGAGUCCUUGAUAUACUAUGUCCAGUUUGAAACUGACUUGUUUACAUUUGUUUCAUAGCUAUUCCUUCCCUAAAACCUGUAACUCCUUUAAGAGAGUGUGGGUAACAAGAUAUGUUAACUAUGUUAUCACUGCUAAUAAGUUAGAAUUUAUUUUGUGUUUCUCUGGAUUAUGUGGACACAUGUAUGUGUGUGUCUUGUUAUAAUUGUAGUUUUUACUGUAAACUGAUAGGUUCCUGUUGGUAGCUGCAUUCCUAAUUCAUUUAAGAAAGAUUACUAUUACAGCAAGUGUAAAAUUUUCUCAAAAACUUUCCCCAUGACACUGUGGGGGGAAAUGUCUUUAAAUAAAUGUGAGAUAGUCUCGUCUUUGAAAUAUGGGUGGCAAAGGGGGGGGGGGUAAUGUGAUUUUAUGAUUACUUAUUAGGGGCUGUAAUAAUAUAAAAUAAAAGACUCCAGGAGGUACUCCCUUUCAAAAAUUGAAUACUUUCCUUCCUUCCUUCCUUGUAUAGAAUGACUGAGUGGGAGUCUCUUGAAUUGUUCGUCUUCCUUUUAUCUAAUAUUCUAUUAAUCUCCAAAAAGAUCAGUUUGAGUCUGGGAAAGGGUUUUUAAUCAACACUUCACAAAGCUUAAAGCUACCCUACCUAAAGUAUCAGCUUUGUUAGGCGGUUUUAGAUUUAAAGCAUUGCAACUGUCAUGCACUGUACUAAAGUAAAGAAUGUACACCAAGUGGAAGAUGUUGAAAAGAGGGAAAUAGCACAAAGUCGAUUAGUGGAGAUUCAAGAACAGAAGUAGUCAUCAAAGCAUUCCAGCAUUUAUCUCAAAAUCUAUGUAGGGUUUAAAAAAAAAGCAACAAUGAUAGUUUUAAACCUCACACUUAUGAAGGAUGAAUGUUGAUUUAAUUGAUUCAUUUGGAUCGAUGUUUUUAAAGUUUCACACCACUGAUCUUUCAUGUAGUGAUGUCUUUAGCAGUCAGUGGUCUGACAUGAGCCUUCUCAGAUUUCAUCAGUGGAACUCUCCAUGACAUCUAAAAUUAUGCAACAGCCUGUUCAAUGUUAACUUUGGAAUUGAGAGACCUCAAUGCCAAAGUGCAUAUUACAUUGAAGAACUCUAAUUCUUAGAACAAAGGUUUUAUAGGAGUAAUAACUGUAAAUGAGCCACAGAGGUUAAAGAAUUGCUAGAUAGAAGAAAGUUGUCCUAAAAGUUUGACCAUUAAGUGGACAUCACAGCGUGACCAAUAUUUUCCCCUUGAAUGUAAAAAGGUUCAAAAUGGAAAUUUGGCUUAAUCCAUGAGACCUUCCAGGCAACUUUUCCCAAUCAUUUGCUUUGAGAUUUGUGGAAAACCUUUCACUAUAUUCUCUGUAUUGUUGGGAUUGGGUUUUGUUUAAAACACAUGAAACAUGUUUUAGAAAGAAGUCCUGCAUUUUUUCCCCCAGAUGAUUCAGCUUUUUCUUUGGCUAUUACAUUGGGUGAUAUGGAAAACUAUCAUAGGUAAAAUAAUGUUGAACUGUACUUUGUGACCAGCCUGCAGUACCAAUACAAAGAAUCUGAAAUGAAAAGACAACCAACACCCCAAGAAUGAUAUGUCUCUUUUUAAAGUUUACAAUUUGAAUAAUGAACUUGGAUAGAAACUUGGCAGGAAAACAAACCAUGGCACCAUCACAUCACCAACCAUUUUCACUUUUCUGUCCAAUUUCAGAGUGCAUGUGUUUGUGAGUAUUUCACUAGAUCAGUGACAGCUCUUUAUUUGCAUAAUUAUAUGCUCUGGUCUGAAGAGAAAACUAACCCCCAAAUUUCAUGGGUCACCAAACUGCAACAAUCAAUGUUUUAUCACGUAUGCUAAGCAAAAUCUAAGAAGCUAUAUGAAGUUUCUUGGGGAGUUUUUACUCCUCAGAAAAUUAAAGAGUUUUCCUCUCCUGAAUAGAUUCAAAAUCUUUCCAAGUUCUUUGUAACUGAAUUCUGUUUGAAGGCAAAACUAGAGAUUAACAUGUAGAUCUGGAUCGUAGACUCACUAGCAUUACUUCAAAGUGGCUUAAGAGGAACAUUUUUGGUGCACUAAACUUUUAAAUUCUUAAUAUUGCCCUUCAUGCUUUCAGGAAUAGUUGUUGGUCAAAUUAUGAUUAGCCAAAAUGGAAGUCCAAGCAACUAUCAUUGACUAUAAAGUUCACUUCCUUCUUUAAAACAGCUCAGGGUUUUUUAAAAACACAUAAUAAAAAAUAUGUCUAUAGGUACAUAUAUGUAUAUGUCUCACACACAUAGAUAUCCAUCCAUGGGAUACAGACAUCUAUUCCUACACUCCACCUGAAAUAUACAGACAGCAUAAACUGUAUGUGUAUGGUAUGUCUAUUUGGUGCCUGUAACACAGUAUGUGUUGGUCACCAUGAAUGUUUGUAAACAUAUUUUCCUUUAAAUAAGUCUUUCAUGUUCAAAAUCUGCAAGGCAUUGUAUUCAAUAUUUUUAAAUAUCUCAAGUUCAUUUGCAUCUAUAAAUAUUCUUUGUAUGUAAGCUCUAUUUGUAUGUAAGGUUGGCUUUAUUUCAUUAAAGAAAAAAUUGAUUUAAA
Molecule: long non-coding RNA, 2644 nt
Filed under: Marmota monax (woodchuck)
Lineage: Eukaryota; Metazoa; Chordata; Mammalia; Rodentia; Sciuridae
Source: RNAcentral